Molecule: ribosomal RNA, 462 nt
Filed under: Kirchenpaueria pinnata
Lineage: Eukaryota; Metazoa; Cnidaria; Hydrozoa; Leptothecata; Kirchenpaueriidae
Description: partial 16S ribosomal RNA
Source: RNAcentral
CUUCUGCAUCGAAAGGAAACUUUAAUUCAACAUCGAGGUGACAAACCUUAUCUUUGAUAUCAUCUCUUCAAUAAGAUUAUCCUGUUAUCCCUAAAGUAGCUUUUAUUUAAUAAUCGUUAAAUAUUUUUUUUUACUUUAACGGGUCAUUCAUCCAUUUUAUGACUGUUAAAACUAUUUUUUAUACAGUAAUUUUUUUAUAUUCUUUUUUUUUAAAAUAUCGGGGCCCAAACUAAACUACCUUAUUCUAUAUAUUUUUACGUAUUAUGAAAUUAUAGAAUUAUAGUUAAGCUUUAUAGGGUCUUCUCGUCUUACAAUUUUAAAUAGUAUCUUGACUAUUACUCAAAUUUUAUUGGAUUUUUUUUUAAGACAGUGAAAUUCUCGUUUAACCAUUCAUACUAUCCGCUAAUUAAGCGGCUCUUUAUUGUGCUACAUUAUCACAGUCAGGAUACUGCGGCCGUUGAA